UGACUGUCAGCAACCAAUCACGUGCUGCUCACCUGCCCGCGUCGCAAAGACAAUCACAACAGGUGUAGACGGUCCGCGUAUUAAACGUCACCAGGGGAAUAAAACGAUGAAUUCCCCCCGUUUCGACGAACGGAGGAAAGACCAGCUGAUCUGACCCGACCUGACAACUAAACCAAAAUACAACAUAAUCCAGAUGGCUGUUUUACGUGUGCAUAUCCAUUUCCUCAAAUCUAUAUUGAUGAUUGAAUAGUACUAAACAAAUUGUAUUUGUUUUAUUGCUUCUUAUAUUUUGAAUUGAAGAAAGUCAUUUGAAUAGUCUUUCAAUCAUAAACCGCUCUUCCAGUCAUGAAUGAAGAGUAAAGUUGAUCUAUUUAUUGACUUUGAACAAAAUAAAACAUUCAUGCCAGUUCAUGCAUUUAUAGUGAUAUAAUAUCCGGUGCCUGGCACACUUGAUUGUUUGAUUAUCAAUGCAAGGUUUCAUGUUCUCAUGAUAAGACCCGACUAAUCGAACGAUGAAACGCUCCGGACUCCAUUAGCCGUGCUAACCAGAGGCCACACAAGUCUGAGUGAGCGGAGUUCAUUUUGUGUCAGUCGACGUUCGGGAAGUUCGAGCCAAUCAUUGUGAUUAUUUGUGAGGAAGACAAUUCCUGGUGAGAACCAGCGGCUCUGCAGAGUGUAACUCGGGCCGAUUAAGUUAUGACAACAACCCCACUGCGUCCGAGCCGUCCGGACUUCAAUGCC
Molecule: long non-coding RNA, 741 nt
Organism: Gasterosteus aculeatus aculeatus (three-spined stickleback)
Lineage: Eukaryota; Metazoa; Chordata; Actinopteri; Perciformes; Gasterosteidae
Source: Ensembl